AGGCCUUUGUCUGUUGAAUGGCCGGUAAAGAUCUUUUGGCAAUCUGUGGGCUUUCUGUUUAUCUUGAAAGCUAUGUCCUUUGCCAUGCAGAUGCUCUGUGGUUUGAUGCAGUCUUAUUUGUCCAAGAUUUUUUGAUUUGUUGUGUUUCUGGG
Perognathus longimembris pacificus (Pacific pocket mouse) is the source of this 152-nucleotide long non-coding RNA. RefSeq lists it as uncharacterized. The transcript is spliced from 3 exons. NCBI's taxonomy places the organism in Eukaryota, Metazoa, Chordata, Mammalia, Rodentia, Heteromyidae. The record is from RefSeq and is a predicted model, not a curated record.